CCCACCUUGCUUCUCUACCUAGAGGAAGCGGCUUGGCAGUUUCGCCCCUCCAGAGAGUGCAUUUUCACAUUCCAGGUGUGCAAAACUAUCUGGAUGACUUUAGACCAGUCCCUUUCUCUCAGCACAACUCACCUCACAGGAUUGUUGUUGUGAGAAAAAUGGGAGAGGAAGGAGUAUUAGUUUUGCAUAUUCUGGAAUUCUUCCAAGCUUAUGGAUAUCACUUUCAAGGGUAAGUAGCUGUUGGACGAGAUCAGGACAUGGUUAUUCUAACUCUGAAAAUGAGUGAGCUAUAUCUGGUAUUCCAAAAAGAACCCAAGAGAGCACCAUGUCUUUAAUUAUUACAUCACAUUAUUUCUCUCAACACUGUGCAGAACCAUAACCGUGAGUUUUAAUCCUAAAUAAAACUAGAUGGAUUCG
Molecule: long non-coding RNA, 417 nt
Organism: Ahaetulla prasina
Lineage: Eukaryota; Metazoa; Chordata; Lepidosauria; Squamata; Colubridae
Exons: 3
Source: RefSeq, a predicted model, not a curated record